CGGUAAUCCAGCUCUCCGAGUGGUAGGGACGAUUAUUGGGCUUAAAGCGUCCGUAGCCGGCUUAGCAAGUCUUCCGUUAAAUCCAACGACCUAAUCGUUGAGCUGCGGGAGAUACUGCUAGGCUAGGAGGCGGGAGAGGCCGACGGUAUUCUCGGGGUAGGGGUGAAAUCCUAUAAUCCCGGGAGGACCACCAGUGGCGAAGGCUGUCGGCUAGAACGCGCUCGACGGUGAGGGACGAAAGCUGGGGGAGCGAACCGGAUUAGAUACCCGGGUAGUCCCAGCUGUAAACGAUGCGGGCUAGGUGUUGGGGCGGCUACGAGCCNCUUCAGUGCCGCAGGGAAGCCAUUAAGCCCGCCGCCUGGGGAGUACGGCCGCAAGGCUGAAACUUAAAGGAAUUGGCG
This 401-nucleotide ribosomal RNA is filed under the name uncultured archaeon. Its description in RNAcentral is "bacterial SSU rRNA". It matches the Rfam family "Archaeal small subunit ribosomal RNA", at positions 468 to 870 of the family's 1478-position model. The record is from RNAcentral.